Molecule: ribosomal RNA, 520 nt
Filed under: uncultured Glomus
Lineage: Eukaryota; Fungi; Glomeromycota; Glomeromycetes; Glomerales; Glomeraceae
Description: SSU rRNA
Rfam family: Eukaryotic small subunit ribosomal RNA
Source: RNAcentral
AGCAGCCGCGGUAAUUCCAGCUCCAAUAGCGUAUAUUAAAGUUGUUGCAGUUAAAAAGCUCGUAGUUGAAUUUCGGGGUUAGUAGGUUGGUCGUGCCACUGGUAUGUACUGGCUCUACUGAUCCCUCCUUCUUGUAGAACCGUAAUGCCAUUAACUUGGUGUUGCGGGGAAACAGGACUGUUACUUUGAAAAAAUUAGAGUGUUUAAAGCAGGCUAACGCUUGAAUACAUUAGCAUGGAAUAAUGAAAUAGGACGCUCGAUCCUAUUUUGUUGGUUUCUAGGAUUGACGUAAUGAUUAAUAGGGAUAGUUGGGGGCAUUAGUAUUCAAUUGUCAGAGGUGAAAUUCUUGGAUUUAUUGAAGACUAACUACUGCGAAAGCAUUUGCCAAGGAUGUUUUCAUUAAUCAAGAACGAAAGUUAGGGGAUCGAAGACGAUCAGAUACCGUCGUAGUCUUAACCAUAAACUAUGCCGACUAGGGAUCGGAUGACGUUAAUUUUUUAAUGACUCAUUCGGCGCCUUA